Molecule: long non-coding RNA, 211 nt
Organism: Contarinia nasturtii (swede midge)
Lineage: Eukaryota; Metazoa; Arthropoda; Insecta; Diptera; Cecidomyiidae
Exons: 2
Source: RefSeq, a predicted model, not a curated record
GAAAUGUCAUUUUGACAAUUUAAAUUCGUGAUUUCAGAGAUGAAAAAAGUGUGAAGAAUUAUUUUCCACCGAAAUUUUCAACCAAAUUCGACACAAUUGCUCUGGCAGGAUUUUUUAACUUAGAUGCAUGUAUAUAAUCUUAGGAUUUGAAGAAUUUGAUUCCAGAAUCCGAGUUUAGUUUUCAGACAUCAACGUCAGUGAUGUUCCCAAA